Cuculus canorus (common cuckoo) is the source of this 486-nucleotide long non-coding RNA. RefSeq lists it as uncharacterized. Lineage: Eukaryota; Metazoa; Chordata; Aves; Cuculiformes; Cuculidae. The transcript has 3 exons. The record is from RefSeq and is a predicted model, not a curated record.
CAUGUCCUAAAUACCUCAGCAGGGACGUCUGCACACACUUACCUGCAAGCAACGCUUCCCUUGGCUGUUAAAGGCACUUUUGUUUCUGAGAGAGAGGUAUUUUUCCAUCGACACGAGUGAAGCUGUGUUCUACCCAGCCUGACCACUCCGACUGCAGCUACAGCCCUACACAGAAGGAUGAAUCUGGCACUAGCACUGACCUUGGCUCCUUCCCGGUGAUGGUGACCUUUACUCAGCUCAGUACUAACAGUCGUUCACCUGAUAGCUCCUGACUUACUGGAGAUAAAUCCCCUCUCAGCAGCCCAGGGACGGGCAUGCGAAGGGCACAGGGAGGAAGGGUGAGAACAAAACAGACCUUGUGUUGCAAAAAAAGGACUCACUGCUAGCUCUUCGCUGGCAUUCUGCGUCUACCAGGCUAAGCCCUUGCCCUCCAUUCUCCCAGCAGAGAACAAAAAGUGCUAAAUGGAUAUCACGGAAACAAGGAAG